UCUAGGGGGUCUGAGAGGAUGGUCCCCCACACUGGUACUGAGACACGGACCAGACUCCUACGGGAGGCAGCAGUGAGGAAUAUUGGUCAAUGGGCGAAAGCCUGAACCAGCCAUGCCGCAUGAAGGAUGACAGCGCUAUGCGUUGUAAACUUCUUUUGUACGGGAAGAAACACUUCUACUUGUAGAAGCUUGACGGUACCGUACGAAUAAGCAUCGGCUAACUCCGUGCCAGCAGCCGCGGUAAUACGGAGGAUGCAAGCGUUAUCCGGAUUUAUUGGGUUUAAAGGGUACGUAGGCGGAAAAUUAAGUCAGUGGUGAAAUCCCGCAGCUUAACUGUGGAACUGUCAUUGAUACUGGUUUUCUUGAAUAUAGUUGAGGUAGGCGGAAUGUGUAAUGUAGCGGUGAAAUGCUUAGAUAUUACACAGAACACCGAUUGCGAAGGCAGCUUACUAAACUAUGAUUGACGCUGAGGUACGAAAGCGUGGGGAGCGAACAGGAUUAGAUACCCUGGUAGUCCACGCUGUAAACGAUGAUCACUCGUUGUUGGCGAUAUACUGUCAGCGACUGAGCGAAAGCAUUAAGUGAUCCACCUGGGGAGUACGACCGCAAGGUUGAAACUCAAAGGAAUUGACGGGGGCCCGCACAAGCGGAGGAACAUGUGGUUUAAUUCGAUGAUACGCGAGGAACCUUACCUGGGCUUAAAUGCAGAACGACGGACCGGGAAACUGGUCUUUCUUCGGACGGACUGCAAGGUGCUGCAUGGCUGUCGUCAGCUCGUGCCGUGAGGUGUCGGGUUAAGUCCCAUAACGAGCGCAACCCUCAUCAUUAGUUGCCAGCGGGUAAUGCCGGGGACUCUAAUGAAACUGCCGGUGUAAACCGAGAGGAAGGUGGGGAUGACGUCAAGUCAGCACGGCCCUUAUGUCCAGGGCUACACACGUGUUACAAUGGUCGGUACAAAGGGCAGCUACC
Molecule: ribosomal RNA, 969 nt
Filed under: uncultured organism
Description: bacterial SSU rRNA
Rfam family: Bacterial small subunit ribosomal RNA
Source: RNAcentral